GAGGAGAUAGCUCAGUGGGUAAGAGCUUUUACUUUGAGAGCAAGAGGACUCGAGUUCAAAUCUCUAGCACUCA
RNAcentral lists this transfer RNA (73 nucleotides) under Mus musculus (house mouse). RNAcentral describes it as "tRNA-Ser". The stretch from base 8 to 66 matches the Rfam family "tRNA", at positions 8 to 63 of the family's 71-position model. Rfam says of the family: Transfer RNA (tRNA) molecules are approximately 80 nucleotides in length. The record is from RNAcentral. Lineage: Eukaryota; Metazoa; Chordata; Mammalia; Rodentia; Muridae.